Culex quinquefasciatus (southern house mosquito) is the source of this 781-nucleotide long non-coding RNA. RefSeq lists it as uncharacterized. The record is from RefSeq and is a predicted model, not a curated record. NCBI's taxonomy places the organism in Eukaryota, Metazoa, Arthropoda, Insecta, Diptera, Culicidae. The transcript is spliced from 2 exons.
UGUUUGGACAUGAUCAAAUCAGAGAAACUUUGAAUCGAUUCGAACCAGUUUUACGUUGCAGUAAGGUUUCGUGUGGAUUUUGGCCGGUUGAUUGGCAAGUUGUGUUCCUUUUUUACCGGAAAGUUUCGGUCGGAGUGGGCGAGCGGCUUUAUCAUAACAAUAUAUUCCAGAUUUCCUGAUUUCGGCCUUCGUGAUGGUGGAGGAGGAGGAGAACGGGUCCCAUCGUUGCUCCAGCGGGCCUUGCCGGAAGACGGGAGGGAAAGGAACCGGUCUGCGAUCGAGGAAGCGGAUUGGCGUUUAACUUUCCGCUGGAGGUGGCGGUGCGUGCCAUACCCAAGGAGGAGGAGGAUCAAACGGCAUGUAAUUGAUGAGGCGGCGUUUCUGAUCCGCCGGAGGUUUUUAUACGGUAACCAAAAAUAUUCCAAUCAGAUCCUGCUGACAACCCAGCGUCUCUGUUUUGUCCCACGGAACGGAAGCUGUAACGAUCGCAAAAACACCUGCACCGGACACUUCCGGUAAACUGAUGUUGUCCCGUACUCCGGUGGCCAUCAAUCCGUGGGAAAUAAACGGAAGCAAACUCGAAAAGAUGGCUGACAAAGUCCGGCCAAGAUGCCGAAGUGACGAGAUGAGCUGAAAGGCCAACCGGAAGACAACGCCAAAAAACCACUUAAAGAUCGCGAUACACAACAUCUAAAAUUAAUGAAUGUAUAUGAAAUUUAGUGAAAAAGUUUAAUUUACAGAAAAUAUACAAUACAUCUAAAAAUAAUUUAAAAAUAAAAAA